UUCCGAGAGCACGGGGUGAAGUUGCGCAAGGAAAAGUGCAGAUUCAGGCAGGAAUCGGUCACCUACCUUGGCCAUCAGAUUGACGGAGAGGGACUGCACCCAACAGAAAAGAACCUUGAGGCCAUCGCUGGGGCUCCGUGUCCGAAAAACAGAGUUUACCUUGGUCACCGACCACCAGCCACUCCUGGGAUUGCUAAAGCCGGGCCGGCCGACCCCUGCCAUGACUGCUGCAAGGAUCCAGCGUUGGGCACUGCUGCUUGGGGGCUACCAGUACAAGCUGGACUACCAGCCUGAAGAACGCCACAAGCCUCCGGAAGAUCCCCGU
This is a long non-coding RNA of Ixodes scapularis (black-legged tick), 325 nucleotides long. RefSeq lists it as uncharacterized. Lineage: Eukaryota; Metazoa; Arthropoda; Arachnida; Ixodida; Ixodidae. The record is from RefSeq and is a predicted model, not a curated record. The transcript has 3 exons.